Amphibalanus amphitrite is the source of this 621-nucleotide long non-coding RNA. RefSeq lists it as uncharacterized. The record is from RefSeq and is a predicted model, not a curated record. NCBI's taxonomy places the organism in Eukaryota, Metazoa, Arthropoda, Thecostraca, Balanomorpha, Balanidae. The transcript is spliced from 2 exons.
UUGCGCGGGGGAGCGGGUGCUAUUCAAAACAAUGGUCGGCGUCGCGUCGUAGGAUCGUUUGCCUUGUUUUUUGAAAAGUUAAGCCCCUUUGGAGCAGAUUGGAAGGUUUCAGAAGAUGGAGGAAGAUGGCAAGAUCAAAGAGAUGGGUUCAGUUUCCACGGUGUGCUGACUUGAAUUGGCAUCCUGUGAUUUGUGAUGUGAAUUAUGAUGCACGCACUCGCAGGUGCACGCCCACUGCGGACACGUGUGACGUGACGGCAGCAGGCAGCCGGGGUGUGAACUGUGAACUGGCUCGGCCGAAAAUGUUUAAGGUAUCACAGCGUUUGUAACUGACUAACAUACCCACUACGGGCAUACCCAUUGAGCGGAUAAUGCGUUCGUGUGCAUCGUGUUUGCAUUUAUUCCCGAUAUACUCUGGUGGUAGGUGUGAAUGGAAACCAGCUUGGUGCUACGACACCGUUUAGUAGGCAUGUGGCACGUCGUUUCUCGAAACCUACCUAUCAGUCUAUGCAAUAAUAUGCAUUGUAUACAUUGUGUGUCAUCGUUCACCUUAGUUGUCAUUGAACCUGUGUUAAAUUCUGAACUUCAGGCCGAGACAGACUAUUUCCACAGUCAGGAAAU